Molecule: ribosomal RNA, 498 nt
Filed under: Arthrobacter sp. AT12-04
Lineage: Bacteria; Bacillati; Actinomycetota; Actinomycetes; Micrococcales; Micrococcaceae
Description: bacterial SSU rRNA
Rfam family: Bacterial small subunit ribosomal RNA
Source: RNAcentral
GACGGCCUUCGGGUUGUAAACCUCUUUCAGUAGGGAAGAAGCGAAAGUGACGGUACCUGCAGAAGAAGCGCCGGCUAACUACGUGCCAGCAGCCGCGGUAAUACGUAGGGCGCAAGCGUUAUCCGGAAUUAUUGGGCGUAAAGAGCUCGUAGGCGGUUUGUCGCGUCUGCUGUGAAAGACCGGGGCUCAACUCCGGUUCUGCAGUGGGUACGGGCAGACUAGAGUGCAGUAGGGGAGACUGGAAUUCCUGGUGUAGCGGUGAAAUGCGCAGAUAUCAGGAGGAACACCGAUGGCGAAGGCAGGUCUCUGGGCUGUAACUGACGCUGAGGAGCGAAAGCAUGGGGAGCGAACAGGAUUAGAUACCCUGGUAGUCCAUGCCGUAAACGUUGGGCACUAGGUGUGGGGGACAUUCCACGUUUUCCGCGCCGUAGCUAACGCAUUAAGUGCCCCGCCUGGGGAGUACGGCCGCAAGGCUAAAACUCAAAGGAAAUUGACGGA